This is a long non-coding RNA of Marmota monax (woodchuck), 604 nucleotides long. RefSeq lists it as uncharacterized. Lineage: Eukaryota; Metazoa; Chordata; Mammalia; Rodentia; Sciuridae. The record is from RefSeq and is a predicted model, not a curated record. The transcript is spliced from 2 exons.
AAGUCCUUUGCAUGUCCAUAAAACCAUUUUAAAAUAAACUAGCUAAUUUCUACCAAAAAUGGUGAUAUGAUUUAAUGGGAUUUUAGUAAACACAUAGACCAAUAUGGUGGUCAUUUUAUAACUUUAGAAUAUAGAAUCUUUCAUUCUAUUAACAUGGUAUAUCCCUAAAUUUAAGUUUCUAAACUUUUUCUUAUAACACUUUUGGGCAAAGUGUUCUUACACAUCUUUCAGUAGAUUUAUUCUUAGGUGUUUUAUAUUCAUCUGUUGCUAAUAUAAAGAGAUUCUAGUGAUACAGAAGUAUGUUGAUUUUAUACCUAGUGUGUUGAUGCUACACUGCAUUACAUUUCAACUGCGGUUUCUCCGCCUUCUGCCUAGCAAAGAACAUACACUUUUCUGGAUGAUGUAACUGGGAGAAUGCUGUGAGCAGCCCACCCAUGGACAAAAUGGCAGAUGAGCUGUCAGAGAGGCUCACUGUGCUAGUGAAGCAACUUCAGCAAAAGAAGGUGGUGAUUGUUGUGCUGAAUUUGUGCCUCUUUGACUUCAGUUCCGAUCUCUGUCAAUACACAAAUACAAGCAUUGCCUGGCAUUGGUCCAUAUCAAUAGA